UACAAAGCUAGAGUCUGGUAGGGGCCAAGGGAAUUCCCGGUGUAGCGGUGAAAUGCGUAGAGAUCGGGAAGAACAUCGGUGGCGAAAGCGCUUGGCUAGACCAGAACUGACACUCAGGGACGAAAGCUAGGGGAGCGAAUGGGAUUAGAUACCCCAGUAGUCCUAGCUGUAAACGAUGGAUACUAGGUGUUGCCUGUAUCGACCCGGGCAGUGCCGAGCUAACGCGUUAAGUAUCCCGCCUGGGGAGUACGCACGCAAGUGUGAAACUCAAAGGAAUUGACGGGGGCCCGCACAAGCGGUGGAGUAUGUGGUUUAAUUCGAUGCAACGCGAAGAACCUUACCAGGGCUUGACAUGUCGCGAAUCUAGGGGAAACCUUGGAGUGCCUUCGGGAGCGCGAACACAGUGGUGCAUGGCUGUCGUCAGCUCGUGUCGUGAGAUGUUGGGUUAAGUCCCGCAACGAGCGCAACCCUCGUCUUUAGUUGCCAGCAUUAAGUUGGGCACUCUGAAGAGACUGCCGGUGACAAACCGGAGGAAGGUGGGGAUGACGUCAAGUCAGCAUGCCCCUUACGCCCUGGGCUACACACGUACUACAAUGGUCUGGACAGAGGGUAGCCAACCCGCGAGGGUGAGCCAAUCCCUAAAACCAGGCCUCAGUUCAGAUUGCAGGCUGCAACUCGCCUGCAUGAAGUCGGAAUCGCUAGUAAUCGCAGGUCAGCAUACUGCGGUGAAUCCGUUCCCGGGCCUUGUACACACCGCCCGUC
RNAcentral lists this ribosomal RNA (762 nucleotides) under Oscillatoria sancta HSSASE19. RNAcentral's name for it is "bacterial SSU rRNA". It matches the Rfam family "Bacterial small subunit ribosomal RNA", at positions 634 to 1398 of the family's 1533-position model. The record is from RNAcentral. Lineage: Bacteria; Bacillati; Cyanobacteriota; Cyanophyceae; Oscillatoriales; Oscillatoriaceae.